CCUACGGGAGGCAGCAGUGGGGAAUAUUGGGCAAUGGAGGCAACUCUGACCCAGCAACGCCGCGUGAAUGAUGAAGGUCUUCUGAUUGUUAAGUUCUGUUAUGGGGGGUGAACACCAUGACGGUACCCCAAUAGCACGCCACGGCUAACUACGUCCCAGCAGCCGCGGUAAUACGUAGGUGGCAAGCGUUAUCCGGAAUGACUGGGCGUAAAGGAUGCGUAGGUGGUUUAGUAAGUUGGCGGUGUAAUUCCGGGGCUCAACCUCGGCGCUACCGCCAAAACUAGUAGACUAGAGUGCAGGGGGGGUAAGUGGAAUUCCUAGUGUAGCGGUGGAAUGCGUAGAUAUUAGGAGGAACAUCAGGGGCGAAGGCGACUUACUGGACUGUAACUGACACUGAGGCACGAAAGCGUGGGGAGCAAACAGGAUUAGAUACCCUUGUAGUC
RNAcentral lists this ribosomal RNA (443 nucleotides) under uncultured bacterium. Its description in RNAcentral is "partial 16S ribosomal RNA". It matches the Rfam family "Bacterial small subunit ribosomal RNA", at positions 338 to 795 of the family's 1533-position model. The record is from RNAcentral.